This 72-nucleotide transfer RNA is filed under the name Centruroides sculpturatus (bark scorpion). RNAcentral's name for it is "tRNA-Gln". It matches the Rfam family "tRNA". From Rfam's summary of the family: Transfer RNA (tRNA) molecules are approximately 80 nucleotides in length. Their secondary structure includes four short double-helical elements and three loops (D, anti-codon, and T loops). Further hydrogen bonds mediate the characteristic L-shaped molecular structure. tRNAs have two regions of fundamental functional importance: the anti-codon, which is responsible for specific mRNA codon recognition, and the 3' end, to which the tRNAs corresponding amino acid is attached (by aminoacyl-tRNA synthetases). tRNAs cope with the degeneracy of the genetic code in two manners: having more than one tRNA (with a specific anti-codon) for a particular amino acid; and 'wobble' base-pairing, i.e. permitting non-standard base-pairing at the 3rd anti-codon position. Lineage: Eukaryota; Metazoa; Arthropoda; Arachnida; Scorpiones; Buthidae. The record is from RNAcentral.
GAUCUCGUGGUGUAACGGUUAGCACUCUGGACUUUGAAUCCAACGAUCCGAGUUCGAAUCUCGGUGAGAUCU